AAAUUGAAGAGUUUGAUCAUGGCUCAGAUUGAACGCUGGCGGCAGGCCUAACACAUGCAAGUCGAACGGUAACAGGAAGCAGCUUGCUGCUUCGCUGACGAGUGGCGGACGGGUGAGUAAUGUCUGGGAAACUGCCUGAUGGAGGGGGAUAACUACUGGAAACGGUAGCUAAUACCGCAUAACGUCGCAAGACCAAAGAGGGGGACCUU
RNAcentral lists this ribosomal RNA (209 nucleotides) under Citrobacter koseri. Its description in RNAcentral is "partial 16S ribosomal RNA". It matches the Rfam family "Bacterial small subunit ribosomal RNA", at positions 1 to 216 of the family's 1533-position model. RNAcentral also lists the same sequence under 9 other names. Lineage: Bacteria; Pseudomonadati; Pseudomonadota; Gammaproteobacteria; Enterobacterales; Enterobacteriaceae. The record is from RNAcentral.